This 581-nucleotide long non-coding RNA is filed under the name Malus domestica (apple). RNAcentral describes it as "long non-coding RNA (MDOM_LNC014499)". The record is from RNAcentral. Lineage: Eukaryota; Viridiplantae; Streptophyta; Magnoliopsida; Rosales; Rosaceae.
AACUCCAGAUUAUUUAGUUUACAAAAUUUAAUUCUAAUCUCCCUGACAUUAUCCAUAGGAAAUUAAGACAGUGGCAUGGUAUGUUGUUUACUUUUUAAAUUGUCCAUUCCAAUAACCCCCACAAUUAAAGAUUUUAUCAAAUUAAUCUUUUUCCACCGAUGGGCCAUUCUCCACGUCUUUGUUAGCUAGCUAGAUAGUUUUGUUGGCAGUGUAAGAUGGAGGGGGACCGUCCUAUGGUUUAUCAUCCAUGGUUUUUGCAUGCAUUAUCCUCUUCUUUUUGGUUUAUCUACCCGUGCACUUGGUCAUUUUAAAAGACCCCAAUCACUUCUUUUGUGGAUUCAUGAGAGACGUCUAUAAAUUUCGGCAUGAGUGUGACAUUAUUGUGUGAUGUUAUUAAUUUAAAUAGUAUAAUAUGAAUAGACGAUAAUAUUAAUAUUUAUAGUCCUACUCCUACGUAUAGCAUAUAUUAACAAAUAAAUACAAAACUUAUCAUAUCACUUAAUUGCUGAUCACGUACCAGUGUGACAUGCGAUCACACCAAUAGAUAUUCAUAUAAUAAGUUUUGGUCGGUGCACAGUAUG